GCCCUCCCGACGCCACUCGCCGCCCCCAUCCAUUUUCGCAGCAGACUCGUCCCUAACCCCAGCCCGGAGACUUUCACUUUGUCCCAUGCCUCCCGAGCACCCCUCCCCGCCCCGGUGGGGGCAGCUCCUGGCUCCGAGCCCCCACCUCGGGGCUCCCAGCCUGGUCCCGGGCGGCCGACCCCAGCAGCCACAGGCAUCCUACGCUGUGUGCACACAGCAUAUCACCGGGAGAGACGGCACGGAAAGAUGGCCCUGCCCUCAAGGAGCUGCAGUCUGCCCAGGAAGGCAGACAGGGGACAGAAAAGCAGGCAGAUCUGCUAGUAAGCAAACUACAGCUCCCCCGAGGAGACACACAGGCAGUGGGUAAGAGGAACAGACCCAUGGCUCCACUGAAGACACAGAGCAGCAGACGAAAAAGACAUGUCCUAAAUGUUAAAUGGUAAGGAGGGGUAGGGUGAAAAAAGGGAACAUGGAUGCCAGGCAGAAGAAAUAAAAGCCUUUCCAAACAUUUGUAUUACAUGAUGCUGGCUCUCACUGAUAAACCACUGGAUGAGAACUGUACUUCAUCCAUAUCAUCCUGUUGGUUGCAGAUCCCGUCACCCCAUAUCUAAAACAUAUUUCCUUCUGGAGCUUUACUGUUGAUACUGCUUUGAGAUGUAUCAUUUGGUUUUGGUUUUACAUAUUUAACAUUUUAAUGAAAGGGUGACUUGAGUAAGGCACUACUUUUUCAAUAAAUAGCAACAGAACCAAUUUGCCUGGGAGGAGACCUGCCAGCAAGCCAUGAGGGGCAUUUCCAAAAUUUCCAGUAUAGGCUGCUCCCAAUUUCUGCCUCCACUUUAAAAACACUUUGCACUUACUAGUGUUAUUCCAGGAGAGCCAGUUAAUAGUUUAAUGAAACUAGUUAGAGUUUAAAGGCAGCAAAUGGGAUAAUUUAAAAUAAUCAUCCCAUUUUUAUUGAUGGUUCUCAAAUCUCUCUCCAGAUCUGACAUUUUGCCCUAGCUCAGACUUGUACCUACACUUUCUAUUCAGACUAACGUCCUCCAUAGUUUUAGGACAUCACCAUCCCAACUUGGGCACUGACAGCCCACAGGCCACAUCCUCCUCAAGUAGCAACUCAUGAACCCAGAGAACUGACUGAAAUAGUUCAGUGUUUCUUGAGCUCCCCAAGGCCUUCAGGCUUCUGUGCAGAGUGGAAGUGGUAGUGGUAGUGGCACAAGUAUGCUAAUUGCCACAGUACACUCUCCAAGGUAAGUGUAACCGGGCCCAUUCUACAGAUAAACUAAAGGUUAGGUAAAUUAAAUCUCCUGGCCCAUCCACAUCUAAUCAUCAUCAGGGCCAGGAUUCAAGUCCAGUUCUAACAACAAAAGCCAUGCCAAUGGUAACAGAGUGCGUGUGAGCUGCUAAGUACUUCUGUGUAUUAACUCAUGCCAUUAAAGUCCGUAGAUGCCAUAGGGUGACCCAGAGCCACACUGGGUAGGCCCCUCCAGGCAUUCCUUUGUCUUCCAAAUACCAACUGAGGUGCAGGCUUAUUACCCUUACGUUACUACUGGCACAAGUAAAACUUCUUCCUGCAUAUACCUUAAGACGGGGGUCUCCAGUCCCCAGGGUACAAACCACUACCAGCCUGUUAGGAACUGGGCCACAAAGCAGGAAGUGAGCGGCAGGCAAGUGAGCAAAGCUUCAUCUGUAUUUACAGAUGCUCCCCCUGGCUUGCAUUACCGCCUGAGCUCUACCUCCUGUCACAUCAGCAGCGGCAUUAGAUUUUCAUAGGACCACGAAUCCUAUUGUGAACUGCGCAUGUGAGGGAUCUGGGUUGCGUGCUUCUUUUGAGAAUCUAAUGUCUGAUGAUCUGUCACUGUUUUCCAUCACCCUCAGGUGGGACUGUCCAGUUGCAGGAAAACAAGCUCAGGGCUCCUACUGAUUCUACAUUAUAGGGAGUUGUAUAAUUAAUUCAUUACAUAUUACAAUGUAAUAAUAAUAGAAAUAAAGUGCACAAUAAAUGUAAUGCGCUUGAAUCAUCCUGAAACCAUCCUUCCCCUCAGCCCAUGGAAAAGCUGUCUUCCACAAAGCUGGUCCCUGGUUCCAAAAAGGUUGGGGACCUCUGCUGUAUACCACUGUAGUCUUAUAAACACUGUUUACUUAAUUAACCUAAACAUUUAAAAUGUUUCCUUUCUUCAAUAAUAAAUUAACCUUAGCUUACUGUAACUUUUUUCACUUUAUAAAGUUUAAAAUUAACCUCAUGGGCCUAGCACCUCAAAUCUCCCCCGCUUCUCUCUCCCCAAGCCAGCUUGCCCUCUCUUAGCUCCCUGUGGCCCUAUUUCUGUCAGCUGCAGCAGAGUUCUAGAAGAAGUGCCUGGCGUGCUCUCUGUCCAUUCCCACUCCUUCCAUCAGUCACCAUGCCCUCUAGAUUCAUUCUUCACUUCAUGGAGUUUCCUGUUCGGCAUGCUCCUCGGUUUUUGCAAGGGCUCUGCCAACUACAGGGCCACGUCAUGCCAGUGACUGCACUGGUCUCCUCCCUGGCCUCAGUGUGUCUCCACACCCCUCCCCCCAACAUUCCAGUUCUGGGCAUUCUGUAUAUUAAUGUGUUCUCUUAUUUGAAGACCUGUGACAAUUCCUAGUACGUCCAAACUAUCGGUCUGCUAGUUAGUUAACAGCCUCCACAAUUGGGUUCCCAAUCACCUACACCACCAUGUAGUGAAGUUAGUUACUGCAGUACCCCAUCCUGAUUCCUUUCCCUGGGUUUUUACCAAUGCCUUUCUCUCUUACCCAAUCUAGAAUGUCCCCUCUUCACUUCUGCUUAUUCAAACACAUCAACUCAACUAACAUUCAUUGAGCCCUCAUUCUAGUGAACACACUGUGCAAAGAGCACAGCACGAGGCACUGAGUGAACAAGGAGCACAGCACGAGGCACUGAGUGAACAAGGAGCACAGCACGAGGCACUGUGCGAAGCAUGUUCCAGUUUCAACUCUAUCCCUACACAGAGUCCGCUCUGCUCUCUCUCCCUUCUCUGAAAAACAACAAUUCCUGUUUAUGACUAGAAUUAAUAAGCACUUCUGCCAUUAAAAGGUCUAUAGAUCUUCCACCAAAUUGUGGAUUCCUUUCCAGCAAGAGGUGGGUCUCUCUGUUCUCUCCUCCUGAGCCUGGGUAGACCUUUGUAACUGUCUUGACCAACAGAAUGUGACAGAAUGAUACCAGGUGACUUCUAAGACUACAUCAUACAAAGCAACACAGCUUCUGCUGGGCUCUCCCUCUCUGGACACGUGUCUUUGAAGCCCUGAGCUGCCAGAUUAAACAGUCCGGCUUGCCUAAAGUCACCACGCUGGAGAGACCAUCAGGGAUGGAGAGGUGCUACAGAAACCCUAGCUAUUCUAGUCCCCAGCCAUUUGAGUCUUCCUAGCCCAGACUCAUAAGUGAAGAAACCUUCAAGAUGAUUCCAAUACCUCCUAUCACUUGACUGCAACCUCGUGAAAGCCUAAGCCAGACCUGCACGGUGGAGCCAUUCCUAAAUUCUGGUCCCACAGAAACUGUGAAAGAUAAUAAAUGAUCAUCAUUGCUUUACAUUGGGCUAAUUUUUAUUAUCAGGGGUAACGUGUUACAUAGCGAUAGGCAACUAAUACAAGAUUCAUUACUAAAACCA
Molecule: long non-coding RNA, 3638 nt
Filed under: Homo sapiens (human)
Lineage: Eukaryota; Metazoa; Chordata; Mammalia; Primates; Hominidae
Description: HSALNT0290144
Source: RNAcentral